RNAcentral lists this long non-coding RNA (5341 nucleotides) under Sus scrofa (pig). RNAcentral's name for it is "lncRNA (ENSSSCG00030055596.1)". The record is from RNAcentral. Lineage: Eukaryota; Metazoa; Chordata; Mammalia; Artiodactyla; Suidae.
AGCCAUCUCAGGAGGUGGCUUUGCAUCACAGCAGUUACCCUUUACCAGGUUGUUAUCCCUUGACAGCAUCAGAAGAGGCUGCUUCCUUAUAAGCAGUCCAAACACUUUGCCUUCUUAUUGCCUUUCAUCACCUGUUUCCACGAGGCUUUAAAAAAAAAAAAUGUCCAGUACACGCACAGAUAUUUUUAGUUAACCUUUCGACAUGCGCCCCUUUCAGGAUGACUGAUGUAUGAGUUUCUCACCCAUUGAGAAUCACUAUUUACAAUGAUUUUUCUCUAGUCCAAUCUGCAUUUUAAUCAACUGAAUUUUAGAUGUGGCUUAGGUUCUAACUGUUGCAUCCAUUUUAAACAUGUUUCUUGUGUUCUUUAAAUCACCUUUCACCGUGUGACAGUUUUCCCAUUCCAGCCAAUUUGAACUAAGCUUUUCAAGGAAAAAUUGGUAAAAUCUACACUACUCUUACUGCCUGCGUGUAAUGUCCAUUUUUUUUCUGGACUCACAGUCUAACCUGGAUGAAUGCACUUACUGGAACUACACAUUCAAAAUCCAAGCUUCUCUGGAAAGUCAAUUUGUCAUAAAUAUAGGAGAGAUCAAUGAAUACUAAGCCAGAUUUUGUGAGAAACAUCCAACUCUGGAGCCCCUGCCUUCUGUGAAAACAAAAAUACUUUCACAAAAAGAAUAUUUUCUCAUGUCAAAUCUCAGUUUUAUUUACUUGAUUUAGAAUAAAAAUUAAGAUAGGAAACAAGAGGAACUUGUUUUAGAAUAAUCUGUUUGCAAAGCAAGAUUUGUCUUAAUAGGUACAAACAUAGCACAAUUCUAAGAUUCUAUAGAUGAUUUCCAAACUCAAUCAUCUUACCAGUAAAGACCUAGAAGACUGUUAAGUUUUAGUAGUGAGGAUAUUCUAGACAAUCAAUUUAGUAAGGCAAUACACAAAUUAUCUAAAAAGUAGAUAAAAGUAUUCUAAUUCAUUGCAAAAUUAUGUAUCUUUGUUUUCUGGUUUUUAAAGCUAUUUUGCACUUCUCAACUGCUAUUUCAUUUAAAUAUAUUCAUUUGAUUUUCUUAGUGAAAAAGAUAUUCUUAAAUAAGGUAAUUAGGCUAUCCAUUCAACAUAUUUAAUUUCCUUCUUAUAAAAAGAGAGUUUUUUAAUGUUUGCCUCCCCUUCAUUAUUUCACAGUUAUUUUAAAACAAUUUUUCAUCUCUUUAACUACUUUUGGCUAAAAAAAAAAGAAAACAUAUUCAUCUUCAUUUAUGUUCCAUUUCAAGUCAGAGCCCUCCUUCUUGAGUCUGCUAACAGCUCAAAGGAAGUCCAGCUAUUAUCCUUGGGGUAAAAUAUAGGUGUACAAACACAGUUCACAUAAAACAGAAUUACCUGUAGGAAAUGACUGUUCUAAUACCAGCAAUAAACAACUCAAUUUCAAGUCUGUCCAGUCUUCAAAUGCUUAUAACAUUAUAACAAAUCUCUACAAAUGGCCAUAUGGUCAAGAUCUGGGCCUCUCUGAGAAAAGGCCAUGCUGCUCUUCUCAUUUGCCCCAUUUUCCCUGAACUUGAGCAUGUGUUCAGGUGGGCAAACUCCUAUCUAGUUCUGUUCCUGAUCUCCCAUGUUCACUCCUCAGUGCUCCACAGUCUCUCUCACCUGUUCCUCCUCUGGUCACUCACCAACGACAGUCUCAGUUGACCCAGAGGAUCAUGCAAGAGCUGCCCCUGCAACUUGGGAUGUCUCCUUAGUUAACAGGCACUGCCUCUGGGGAAGCCUGUGCUUGGUAACAGCCCCCUAUCUCAUCACAGGGCUGGACAAAGAGCUGGGCUGACGCAGCCAAAGUGCCUUACCCUGCCAUCAUUGCUCUGGUUUGGGCACAUGCAGGAAUCCUAGCAAGGAAACUUUUCUUCCUUCUCUGGUUUCCUAACAAAAGGAUAUAAGUCCUUAACUCUGUAGCUUUGUUUCCUGACACAUUUAAACCAAAAGGAAAUGAAAAAGAGCAGAUGUUGGAGAUCAGGGAAUAAUCUUGUAGAUCUCACCCAUGAUCCAGUUUCCCUAGAGGAUGGUCCCAUUCCUUCUGCUGGGGGAAAAAAAGAUAAUAAAUCCCCCCUUUUUAGAUUAAAGAUUAAAUAGGAUGCAGUUGGAUGUGCAUCUCUUACAACUGAAAUAAUCUUGACUAAAAUAAAAAGGGUGAGAUCUGGGAACACAGUUGAGUAGAAGCCUUAGGCACACUGUCAUGUGGGACCAACUGGAGAUUUACACUUUUGGCCACUUGGGGAGUUGGUGGUAAUGACUAGAGAGGAAAAGACAGUGAAAGGACGAGAGAGGGAAAGUCCAAAACUUGGGAUGAUGUUGUAAAUGAAAGUAGGUCAAGUAAUUUCCAGAGCUCUACAAAUCAGAGAAACUACUGAGGACCGAGAUAAAUAAGAGAUAUGUGACAGCAGGUAUCUCAGGUUUGCUCUUUGGGAACUGGGUUUCCAUGCAAAUGACUUGGCACAGGAAGUUGAGGCAUGAGUAAUCAGGAGUUGGUAUACCAGAACCAUAGUAGGCUCAAACAAAUGACCAACCAAUACAGAUCCCUUUAGCCAUUAUAGUUACUCUCCCUAGGGGAGUGAUUGCCCCCCAAAUCUGGGCUGGAAUGAAACAAGUAGCAAGUACAGGUAUCUGUAGCUUCCAUCAUUCUCUUCCCACCAGCACCACUUUAACUGUCAAUCUCUUUCUGCAGGCUUGACUCUAAGUCAUAACCCUGACUGUAAUUUUUGCCACUUCUUAACAGAUAUGAGCUUCUUUCUUCCCAGUCAAUUCCCAGUUUCCAAAUAGGUCAGGUUCCAAAUAUUUGUUUGUGUGAGCUGGAAAAGUAAUUAUUCAAAAUGUAUGUGAGCUUAGUGGGUUUUUGAAGGCUGGUCUGGAAACCCAUCUGCAAAAUAAAUUGAUGCUAGGGGAAAAUGGACUCUGAGCUGAGACUCAGGACUCCAAGCACACAUCUCCCCAUCCCAGCUUCAAGCCUAAAGCCAGAGCUACUGCAACACGGCAGGAUCCAGAAAAAUCCCUUCCCUACUUUGCAUCUCUAACAGCCAAUAAGAAGGAAGCAUCGAAUGCUCUGGUUAUCUAUUGCUGUAUAACAAGCCACCCCCAAAAUUACUGACUGUAAGCUGACUAUGAAUAAAAACCACUCUAUUGUGUCUCAUGAUUCUGGUGGUCAAGGAUUUGGGUAAGUUUCUACAGAGCAAUUUUUUUCUGCUCACUUAAAGUCUACUGGGAUCACUUUUGCCUGAUAGCUUGGUUUCUUGCAUUCUGGAAGAUCCCUGAGGACUUCAGUCAUGUGCCUGAAACCUAGGCAAGAACAUCUGCAAGGCUGGACUCAGCUGGGUCCCUCUUUCUCUUCUUGUAGUUCCAGAGCCUCUCUACCCUCCUCCAACAGUGCAGUUAGGCUUCUCACAUGGCAUCUCAGGACUUCAAAGGAAUAUAGUAAAGCUGCUUAUUCUUCAAAUGCUAAGUGCAAACCAGCAGAACAUCCCAUCUAGCAUAUUCUACCUGUCAAAUUGACACAGGCCCACCCAGAUUCAAAAGGAGAAGAAACAGCCCUCCACCUUUCCAUGAGAAGAAUGUCAAAGAAUUUUCAACCUUUCUUAAUCCAUCACCACAGUGUUCUUCUAGGACUCUUUUUGUUUGUUUGUUUGCUUUUUAGGGCCACACCUAUAGCAUAUGAAAGUUCCCAGGCCAGAGUGCUAUGCCCUGUGAAUAUGAUGGUAAGUAAGGCAGGCAGAUCAUUUCUUCCCUUAUGCAGAUUACAUUCUGAUACAUAAUAUAAGAAUGUAUUUGAACUCUGACAAGUUCUAUGACUGGGUAUUUAAACAUGGAGCAUGUUCUAGAAGAGGUGUUAUUCAAGGAUGACCUACAAGCUGAAUAGGUGCUAGCCAGACCAAGAGGGAAAGAGUAUUCAGGACAGAGAGAAAAAUUUGCAAAAGACUGAAGUUUCUAUAGACAGCAUAGUAUCAGUCUUCUUCUAGACUGAAGUUGAAACUGAGUGGAAAUUAUAUAAAGGAACAAGCAGGGGAAAGAAAAGACUGGAGAAGUAAUCAGGAGCCAAAUCAAGAAGAGUCUUAUAAUCACUUCAAGAAAUCAGAACUUUAUUCUUAAAUGUGGGAACCUAAACUAAUAGAGAAUUGAAGGAUUUCAUCAAAGAAAAGACAUAAUUAGAUUUAUGUUUCUAAAGAUAGCCUGGCUGCAGUAGGAGGAAUGCAAUGAAUGAUAGCAAAGCUGGAAACCAGGAGAUUAUUUAGUAGAUUGUGCAAUAAUAUUAGUCAAAGGUCAUGGUGGCCUGAUUAGGGAAGUGGCAGUCACUAUAGAAAAAAAGGGGGAGGCAGUAGUUUUAAAAGCUAUUCAGAAGAUUAAAUCAACUGGAUUUGCUUCUUGAAUGUAGAUGGUAAGAGAGAUGAAAGAGGAAAAGCUGCCAUCCAACUAGUGAUUCAAGUUUUGGGGAAGAUGGAUGGUGCCAUUCACUGAGGCAGUGAACAGAGGAAAAGGCUCAGGUUUGAAGAUGGGAGUGAGUGUAUUUUGGAUGCACUGAAUUUGAGGUACCAGUGAGACAUUUACAGAGAUUUCCUGUAUGUGGUGAGAAGGACCCUUCACAGGAGGCUAAAAAGGCAGGACUAGAGUUGAAGAAAAGAGUAAUGCCAUAUAAACCAACAAGAGUCAAUGUUCAAGAAAGAGUGAUCGGCAGUUUCAAAUUCACUUCCUGCACAUCAGGCACUGAGCUAGAAAAUGGAACCCCCCAAAAUGACUAAGAUAUUCUUACUGCCUCUGGAAAUAUUAUUGUGCUGUUUCCCUGUGUCUGAUCCCUACCCUGGCUCCCUUGAUGCUGAGAUUUUUAUCUUCCUCUCUACAAUUCUCCUGGAAUCUGGAGUUCUGGCCCAAAUUCCAGUUUGUAUGGAAUGGUACUUAAGUCAUGCUAACUCACUUCUUCUUACAAAAUAUGUGGUACUUGACUCCCCACUGCUAAAAAUUUGUCUAUAUUCCUUUCUAUACUUGAUAGGAGUCUGUUGUUUCUAUGCUCCUGUUAUGAUCUGGCUCAUUUUGUUUCUAAAUGUUUCCUUCCUACUGCCCCUACCAAGCCAAACUACUUGUGUGAUAUGUAUAUGGAAUGACCCUAAACUGGAUGCUCGUAAGACAGAGACAACCUAUAUUCUUAAAGAUAAGAGUCCAAGAGGAGUCUCAAGUCUUGCUUUCAGUUAAGUUUUUUUCUCUUCCCUAUAACUCUGGUAACUCUUUUGUGUGUUCUAUUAAGAGAAUACUGUGAAAUUUCUUCUUUCAGAGGACAUUUAUCAGCAGGAUAUCAACCUGAUAGUAUCUUUGGACACUCAGGUU